CCAUUUUGGGUGUUUCAGUGGUGGUCUCAGCAGACCCUUAUGAGCACAAGUCUUCUCCACCACCACCAUAUGAGUACAAGUCUCCACCACCACCCUCACCUUCACCUCCACCAUAUGAAUAUAAGUCUCCUCCCCCACCACCAUAUGAGUACAAGUCUCCACCACCACCCUCUCCUUCACCACCACCAUAUGAGUACAAGUCUCCUCCCCCACCACCAUAUGAGUACAAGUCUCCACCACCACCCUCACCUUCACCUGCACCGUAUGAAUACAAGUCUCCUCCCCCACCACCAUAUGAAUAUAAAUCUCCUCCCCCACCACCAUAUGAGUACAAGUCUCCACCACCACCCUCUCCUUCACCUGCACCAUAUGAAUACAAGUCUCCUCCACCACCACCAUAUGAAUAUAAGUCUCCUCCCCCACCACCAUAUGAGUACAAGUCUCCACCACCACCCUCUCCUUCACCUCCACCAUAUGAGUACAAGUCUCCUCCCCCACCACCAUAUGAGUACAAGUCUCCACCACCACCCUCACCUUCACCUGCACCGUAUGAAUACAAGUCUCCUCCCCCACCACCAUAUGAAUAUAAGUCUCCUCCACCACCCUCUCCUUCACCUGCACCAUAUGAAUACAAGUCUCCUCCACCACCACCAUAUGAAUAUAAGUCUCCUCCUCCACCUUCACCCUCUCCACCACCACCAUAUGAGUACAAGUCUCCACCACCACCCUCUCCUUCACCUGCACCAUAUAAAUACAAGUCUCCUCCACCACCACCAUAUGAAUAUAAGUCUCCUCCUCCACCUUCACCUUCACCUGCACCAUAUAAAUACAAGUCUCCUCCACCACCACCAUAUGAAUAUAAGUCUCCUCCCCACCACCAUAUGAGUACAAGUCUCCACCACCACCCUCUCCUUCACCUGCACCAUAUAAAUACAAGUCUCCUCCCCCACCACCAUAUGAGUACAAGUCUCCACCACCACCCUCUCCUUCACCUGCACCAUAUAAAUACAAGUCUCCUCCACCACCACCAUAUGAAUAUAAGUCUCCUCCUCCACCUUCACCCUCUCCACCACCACCAUAUGAGUACAAGUCUCCACCACCACCCUCUCCUUCACCUGCACCAUAUAAAUACAAGUCUCCUCCACCACCACCAUAUGAAUAUAAGUCUCCUCCUCCACCUUCACCCUCUCCACUACCACCAUAUGAGUACAAGUCUCCACCACCACCCUCUCCUUCACCUGCACCAUAUGAGUACAAGUCUCCUCCCCCACCACCAUAUGAGUACAAGUCUCCACCACCACCCUCACCUUCACCUGCACCGUAUGAAUACAAGUCUCCUCCCCCACCACCAUAUGAAUAUAAGUCUCCACCACCGCCCUCUCCUUCACCUGCACCAUAUGAAUACAAGUCUCCUCCACCACCACCAAUGAAGCCUCCACAUCCACCAUACUACUAUAAUUCUCCACCACCACCAGU
RNAcentral lists this long non-coding RNA (1476 nucleotides) under Coffea arabica (coffee). RNAcentral's name for it is "long non-coding RNA (CARA_LNC002214)". The record is from RNAcentral. Lineage: Eukaryota; Viridiplantae; Streptophyta; Magnoliopsida; Gentianales; Rubiaceae.